Molecule: long non-coding RNA, 436 nt
Organism: Mastomys coucha (southern multimammate mouse)
Lineage: Eukaryota; Metazoa; Chordata; Mammalia; Rodentia; Muridae
Exons: 2
Source: RefSeq, a predicted model, not a curated record
CUACAAAACUGUCCCUGAAACCAACGUGGUGAAGCCUGUCACAGCAGGAUCCCAUUCUUCAACACCAAUUUCUGUCUUGGUUUCUGCCAUCGGAAUGUUCUGCGUGUGCAAGGCCAAGCCACCAUGAGUAGAAUCCUCUGACACCACGGCAAGCACCACAUGGAAACCGAUGCUGGUGACCCUCAGAAUGCAUCAUUUCAAAAACAGAACUUAGAAAGACUGUGACAUGUUCUUCAACAAAGUUCUGAUAAUCAGAUGCCUACACAGAAUGAGUCUGGAGCAGUCAUGUUUAAGUUGUCAAAUGGGGACUGUGUGUGACUAGAAAGAAAUGAAGUAGGCAUGGAAGUUCUAAGGCUAAGCCAUGGACUCUGCUCAAGCGAAUUUCUUGAAGCUCUGUAAACAUACUAUAAAAAUAAAAUCUGUACUGAAGUCUGUA